RNAcentral lists this ribosomal RNA (253 nucleotides) under uncultured bacterium. RNAcentral's name for it is "partial 16S ribosomal RNA". It matches the Rfam family "Bacterial small subunit ribosomal RNA", at positions 524 to 776 of the family's 1533-position model. The record is from RNAcentral.
UACGAAGGGGGCUAGCGUUGUUCGGAAUAACUGGGCGUAAAGGGUGCGUAGGCGGAUUUUUAAGUCAGGGGUGAAAUCCCGAGGCUCAACCUCGGAACGGCCUUUGAUACUGGGAAUCUUGAGUCCGGGAGAGGUGAGUGGAACUGCGAGUGUAGAGGUGAAAUUCGUAGAUAUUCGCAAGAACACCAGUGGCGAAGGCGGCUCACUGGCCCGGAACUGACGCUGAGGCACGAAAGCGUGGGGAGCAAACAGG